Hippopotamus amphibius kiboko is the source of this 227-nucleotide long non-coding RNA. RefSeq lists it as uncharacterized. The transcript is spliced from 3 exons. Lineage: Eukaryota; Metazoa; Chordata; Mammalia; Artiodactyla; Hippopotamidae. The record is from RefSeq and is a predicted model, not a curated record.
UUUACUUCCCACCAGCAAUGUGUGAAAGAGCCAACAUCCUCUCUGUAUCCUCUCUCCAGAAUUUGGGGUAUCAGAAGAUUUGGACUUUCCAUGGCUGCAUCAUCUUCCCCUCUUGCCGUUUGUAGAGAGUGUCUGGAAGGAUGAAGUGCUGUGUGAUAGAGAGUUGCUUUCUUCCUGAAGACCAGCAGAGAUGCUUCAGUCUGAACUACUGUAUAAGAAGAUGGACA